AGCGGUUAGAGUGGAGGGGCGGCAGGUAGCCUAGCGGUUAGAGUGGAGGGGCGGCAGGUAGCCUAGCGGUUAGAGUGGAGGGGCGGCAGGUAGCCUAGCGGUUAGAGUGGAGGGGCGGCAGGUAGCCUAGCGGUUAGAGUGGAGGGGCGGCAGGUAGCCUAGCGGUUAGAGUGGAGGGGCGGCAGGUAGCCUAGCGGUUAGAGUGGAGGGGCGGCAGGUAGACUAGCGGUUAGAGUGGAGGGGCGGCAGGUAGACUAGCGGUUAGAGUGGAGGGUCGGCAGGUAGCCUAGCGGUUAGAGUGUCGGGGCGGCAGGUAGCCUAGCGUUUAGAGUGGAGGGGCGGCAGGUAGCCUAGCGGUUAGAGUGGAGGGGCGGCAGGUAGCCUAGAGGUUAGAGUGUCGGGGCGGCAGGUAGACUAGCGGUUAGAGUGUCGGGGCGGCAGGUAGCCUAGCGGUUAGAGUGUCGGGGCGGCAGGUAGCCUAGCGGUUAGAGUGUCGGGGCGGCAGGUAGCCUAGAGGUUAGAGUGUCGGGGCGGCAGGUAGCUUAGAGGUUAGAGUGUCGGGGCGGCAGGUAGACUAGCGGUUAGAGUGUCGGGGCGGCAGGUAGCCUAGCGGUUAGAGUGGAGGGGCGGCAGGUAGCCUAGCGGUUAGAGUGGAGGGGCGGCAGGUAGCCUAGAGGUUAGAGUG
Molecule: long non-coding RNA, 685 nt
Organism: Oncorhynchus keta (chum salmon)
Lineage: Eukaryota; Metazoa; Chordata; Actinopteri; Salmoniformes; Salmonidae
Exons: 3
Source: RefSeq, a predicted model, not a curated record